GGUGGCUCAGUUGUAGAGUGCUUGCCUUGCAUGCAUGAAGCCCUGGGUUCGAUUCCUCAGCACCA
RNAcentral lists this transfer RNA (65 nucleotides) under Dipodomys ordii (Ord's kangaroo rat). It matches the Rfam family "tRNA". Rfam says of the family: Transfer RNA (tRNA) molecules are approximately 80 nucleotides in length. Their secondary structure includes four short double-helical elements and three loops (D, anti-codon, and T loops). The record is from Rfam by way of RNAcentral. Lineage: Eukaryota; Metazoa; Chordata; Mammalia; Rodentia; Heteromyidae.